AUUGAACGCUGGCGGCAUGCCUUACACAUGCAAGUCGAACGGCAGCACGGGUGCUUGCACCUGGUGGCGAGUGGCGAACGGGUGAGUAAUACAUCGGAACAUGUCCUGUAGUGGGGGAUAGCCCGGCGAAAGCCGGAUUAAUACCGCAUACGAUCUACGAAUGAAAGCGGGGGACCUUCGGGCCUCGCGCUAUGGGGUUGGCCGAUGGCUGAUUAGGUAGUUGGUGGGGUAAAGGCCUACCAAGGCGACGAUCAGUAGCUGGUCUGAGAGGACGACCAGCCACACUGGGACUGAGACACGGCCCAGACUCCUACGGGAGGCAGCAGUGGGGAAUUUUGGACAAUGGGCGAAAGCCUGAUCCAGCAAUGCCGCGUGUGUGAAGAAGGCCUUCGGGUUGUAAAGCACUUUUGUCCGGAAAGAAAUCCUUGGCCCUAAUACGGUCGGGGGAUGACGGUACCGGAAGAAUAAGCACCGGCUAACUACGUG
RNAcentral lists this ribosomal RNA (486 nucleotides) under uncultured bacterium. RNAcentral's name for it is "partial 16S ribosomal RNA". It matches the Rfam family "Bacterial small subunit ribosomal RNA", at positions 30 to 507 of the family's 1533-position model. The record is from RNAcentral.